UUUUGACAGGAGUGCCCAACACAUUGAAUGUGAUCACCAAUUUCCCAUUCUUGGUUGUUGGGGUUCUGGGUUUUGUUCUCUGUGUCCAAGGAGGCUUUUUCAAUAUCAGUUUGCCAGGUGAAGUUUGGGGUUGGGCACUGUUCUAUGCAGGAAUAGCAGGGCUGACUUUUGGCUCUGCUUAUUAUCAUUUGAAGCCUGAUGAUAGUAGAGUGACUUGGGAUACCUUGCCGGCUAGCAUUUCAAUCCAUCGUUCUUCGGAGGUGUGGGAGAGAGCAGAAGAAUUUUCACCAGAGAGAUUUGAUAUGGAAGGUCCUAUACCCAAUGAAACGAAUACAGAUUUCAGGUUCAUUCCAUUCAGUGGAGGGCCACGAAAGUGUGUUGGUGAUUAGUUUGCUUUGCUGGAAGCUAUUGUUGCUCUGGCAUGAAAUCUUGGAAUCUUUUGGAGGUAGCAUGAAAUCUUUUGCUAACUGUGGUUCUUACUAGUUGGUUGCAGAGCAUGCAAUGAUAUUAGAUUGUACAUGAUGUUCCAAUUGAUUCCAUG
Long non-coding RNA from Rosa rugosa (rugosa rose), 541 nucleotides. RefSeq lists it as uncharacterized. The record is from RefSeq and is a predicted model, not a curated record. NCBI's taxonomy places the organism in Eukaryota, Viridiplantae, Streptophyta, Magnoliopsida, Rosales, Rosaceae. The transcript is spliced from 4 exons.